Molecule: long non-coding RNA, 755 nt
Organism: Gekko japonicus
Lineage: Eukaryota; Metazoa; Chordata; Lepidosauria; Squamata; Gekkonidae
Exons: 4
Source: RefSeq, a predicted model, not a curated record
UAAAAAAUAGCAAUUAUUUCUUUGUACCUCUGUGGAACAGAUGAAGAUGGAAUUAUGGACUUAACUAAUGUUGCAUCUACAAAGUCAACCCAUUUCGCAUAAAACAAUAGUUGCUUUUUAUACGUAUUGGUAGGUGGUGUUAAAGUCAUUAUUUUUUCCAUCGCAUAAUACUCCCAUAUUUUGAGAUACCAUUGGUUCAACGUUAAAGAAGAAUCGCUUUUCCAAUUAGCAGCUAUUACUGUUUUCGCUGCCAUCAAAAGAGUUGAGAUAAGCUCUUUACUCGAUAGAGGAAUAUUAAUGUCUUGCCAUAAAUCUAAUAGAAUUAGGUCUGGGUUAAAAGGUAAAUUAAUCUUUGUUAUUUCCCUGAUGGCUUGUAAUAUGGAUGACCAAAAUUGUCUGACUUUUUUACAAAGCCACCAACAAUGUAUGUAGUCCGCUGGAUCUCCACAACCUCUCCAACAGAGCGAUUCGCUUGGAAGAGCGGGUUCGAACCAGGAUUGUCUGGUAUAGCAAGCUAGUAACUUAAUUGACUGAGGUGUCUUAAACCAAUAACGUUGUUUAAGUGAGGAGGCUAUGGCUAUAAAUUGACCUCGGACUACGGCCUUCAGUGCAUCCCAGACCAUAUUAUGUGGGACUCCGCAGGACAUAUUAUGCUUCAAAUAUUCUUUAAUGGUUUUUUCAAUUGUGUCUGUUGUUGUUUGUAACAAUAAAAGUCUUGCGUCUAAGCUCCAAGAAUACGUUUGUUUUGUUUUGUC